UACGAAGGGGGCUAGCGUUGCUCGGAAUGACUGGGCGUAAAGGGCGCGUAGGCGGCUCCGCAAGUCGGCCGUGAAAUCUCCAGGCUCAACUUGGAGGGGUCGGGCGAGACUGCGGAGCUCGAGGUGGGCAGAGGGCAGUGGAAUUCCGGGUGUAGUGGUGGAAUGCGUAGAGAUCCGGAGGAACACCAGUGGCGAAGGCGGCUGCCUGGGCCUGGCCUGACGCUGAGGCGCGAAAGCGUGGGGAGCGAUCCGG
RNAcentral lists this ribosomal RNA (253 nucleotides) under uncultured bacterium. Its description in RNAcentral is "partial 16S ribosomal RNA". It matches the Rfam family "Bacterial small subunit ribosomal RNA", at positions 524 to 776 of the family's 1533-position model. The record is from RNAcentral.